Molecule: long non-coding RNA, 333 nt
Organism: Carassius carassius (crucian carp)
Lineage: Eukaryota; Metazoa; Chordata; Actinopteri; Cypriniformes; Cyprinidae
Exons: 2
Source: RefSeq, a predicted model, not a curated record
ACCUUCUUCCUCCUCUCUUCUUGCUCUGUCCAUCGAGGGGAGCUGGAAGAGGCUUCACCUGCUUGACUGAUGGGGGCUCCUGCCAUUUAUCAAACUUUCGCUCGAUCUCUUCCUUCAAAUCAUACCCGUCCUCCUCUUCUCCUGCCUCCUCCAAGUCGGCAAGCAAUUCAUCUGCCAGAGACAUCUACGAACAGUGCGAGAAAACAAAACGAAUUAGAUCAAAACAUCGUUUAUUUGCAGAAAGAGGUUUUUAAAAUAAUGAUCCGAGUAAAUGAGCAUAAACUUACAUUUCCAGAGCGCUUCUUUUCUCCUCACCUCAAUAAAACAUGCGAA